UUAACCCGUACAGGUCAGCUCUAUCUCCAGAAACAGUUAACAUGCUUAUGUGUAGAGCUGAUUAGAUGAGAACACGUUAUAAUAUGAAAAAACAAGAUGAGAUUGAAGUUGAAAAUGAGAUUGCUGAGAUUAUCUUGCCAGAUAAAUUAUGACUGGGUAAAUAGUUGUCAAUUAGAUUAAUCUUGGCAUGGCAUUGGUGAUACUGGGCUCUUGGACCAUUUGCUGAAGCACAUUGAUGGUAAAGUGGCACCAGGUGGUGCAGAAAGGUUUAGGUGUUGUUACAACACUAAAGGAGUGAUGGCUUGCAGAUUGCCGUCAACGAUGAGGUCUGAUUAUAUGUCGGUGUCUGGUACUGAAGAAGUUCAGCUUGAGAAAGAUAGUUUGUUAGAUAAAGCUUUGGAUGCUUUAUACGAGAAAAGGUGUGUUUAAUGUAAUUCAUUUUUUUAUUAUUUAGUAAUUGAUUUUAUUAAUGUUUUUCUUGCUAGCUAUUUCUUUCAUAAAUCAAAAU
Long non-coding RNA from Mangifera indica (mango), 508 nucleotides. RefSeq lists it as uncharacterized. The record is from RefSeq and is a predicted model, not a curated record. NCBI's taxonomy places the organism in Eukaryota, Viridiplantae, Streptophyta, Magnoliopsida, Sapindales, Anacardiaceae. The transcript is spliced from 3 exons.